Molecule: non-coding RNA, 705 nt
Organism: Schizosaccharomyces pombe (fission yeast)
Lineage: Eukaryota; Fungi; Ascomycota; Schizosaccharomycetes; Schizosaccharomycetales; Schizosaccharomycetaceae
Source: the annotation of a GenBank genome assembly
AUGUUGGCGAAAAGUAAAUUCGUAACACCAAACACAAGGCACACUGGACAACUUUUAUAAAUAUCCACUAAUUUCAAUAGUAAGCAAUCUCAACAGCAGACAGCUUUCGGAUAACAUGCGUUAGAUACGUAAAGCACUCAAAUAGAAACAUAUAAUUUACACAGGGAUUUAAUGCAUUUACUAACAAAUUACCAUUCUUAAAUAUGACUGAUUUCUAUUUCAAAAUUCAAUUGCCUGCCUUGCGACAAACUAUCCAUCAAAUUUAGUACUUGCAUUUUUUUCAUUGAUCACAAUUUAUACCCCGUAUGUAUAAAAUCUUACUAAAAGGCAUCUUAAUUGUCUGAGUAAGAACUUUGGUUAAGGGUAGACGGUUGAGAGCAUGCACUUAUUUGAAUCACUUUAUGGCAUUUUCUUUAUAAUAGUACAACAUUGCAGAAGUGAAUGACAUCUAAAGCUACUGCUACUAUGAUUUUGCAUUUGUCUUACUUUAACAUUAUCUACCAUGCGUUUCCAACGAAUCCUAUUUUAAAGUGUAAAGUCAGUUAAAUGUUAACUGUGUGUACCUUCCUUCCUUCGAACGAUCGCAUUUAUUGUUGACAAACAUUACUCAAACUUUCAAAUGACUUUUAUUCAAAAAAUUUUAAAAUUCUACCAAAUAUUUGUAGGACAGAGAAAGAAAAAAAAAAUAUAUAUGAUUGUAGGUAA